This 892-nucleotide long non-coding RNA is filed under the name Malus domestica (apple). RNAcentral's name for it is "long non-coding RNA (MDOM_LNC012896)". The record is from RNAcentral. Lineage: Eukaryota; Viridiplantae; Streptophyta; Magnoliopsida; Rosales; Rosaceae.
UAACAAAGAAAGGUUAAGGAUAAACAAAAGUUCUUAAAGCGAUAGCAAACAAGUAAUGAAUUUGACACUUAGAAUUCACUUUUGCGUGCAGAAAAUCACUUAGACACACAAGGGGGUGAAAUACACAAUAUUUAGGGUCUAAUUUAACUUUUUGGACCCUUUCUUCAACAACCAACACUUGUGAGUUCUUUCUUAUUUUGACCUCUUUGCCAUAAUUAUUUAUUUAUUUUUUUUUUUUGUACCCAAUUCUUGCUUUUGGCACAAAUUCCCACACAUAAAUUCCUUCCCCCACACUUGUUUUUCUGCACAAUAAUAAUCAAAAGGAAUUCAUUCUAAGUCAUGUUCACUAUGCUUUAAGAACAAAGGCAUGGAUGGUCCUAUUCUAGGCUAGGUAAGGAUAACGUGGGUUAACAAAGAACAUAGGCUAAACAAGGCUCAACGGGGCUUAAACCUACAAAACAAAUGAACAUGGGGUGCGGCUAUUUGGUUCUUGGUUUACUAACAACUUCAUCUUGUUAUGUGUUAUGCGAAUCAAUUUUAUGCUUUGAAUGAAACGGGCAUGAGUUCUAGUAUUUGGAACUAAAUGAUGAAACGCCUUCUAAGUAGUAACCAAGCAAAGAAUAAUGAGAUCAUGCAACUACUUUAGAAGACAACAAAUGCACAGAUUAUUAACUCUCCAAAGAACGUUAAAAGCUCAAGUCUCUCAGGGUUGUAGCGUUAGUUUGAGUUUCUUCCUUCAAGCAUGUUACAAAAACUAAUUUUUCUUUUGAUUACAUGUGAAUUCAUGAAUUACAACUAAGCAUAAACGAAAGAGCAUAUCAAACUUUUUCAUCCAUGAUUGUAACUUACUUCAACAGUUAUGCAAUUAAAAACCAAAUCCUCAUCAUUGUGU